RNAcentral lists this ribosomal RNA (171 nucleotides) under uncultured bacterium. RNAcentral's name for it is "partial 16S ribosomal RNA". It matches the Rfam family "Bacterial small subunit ribosomal RNA", at positions 1315 to 1500 of the family's 1533-position model. The record is from RNAcentral.
CCUACAUGAAGCUGGAAUUGCUAGUAAUCACAGGUCAGCAUACUGUGGUGAAUACGUUCCCGGGCCUUGUACACACCGCCGUCACACCAUGAGAGUUGAGAAUACCCGAAGCCCAUGUCAAAGUGGUCGAAGGUAGGCUUGAUGAUUGGGGUGAAGUCGUAACAAGGUAAC